UCCAGACUCCUACGGGAGGCAGCAGUGGGGGAUAUUGCACAAUGGGGGGAACCCUGAUGCAGCGACGCCGCGUGGGUGAAGGAGCGUUUCGGCGCGUAAAGCCCUAUCGGCAGGGAAGAAGGAGGACGGUACCUGACUAAGAAGCCCCGGCUAACUACGUGCCAGCAGCCGCGGUAAUACGUAGGGGGCAAGCGUUAUCCGGAUUUACUGGGUGUAAAGGGGGCGCAGACGGCAGCGCAAGCCAGGAGUGAAAGCCCGGGGCCCAACCCCGGGACUGCUCUUGGAACUGCGCGGCUGGAGUGCAGGAGGGGCAGGCGGAAUUCCUGGUGUAGCGGUGAAAUGCGUAGAUAUCAGGAGGAACACCGGUGGCGAAGGCGGCCUGCUGGACUGCAACUGACGUUGAGGCCCGAAAGCGUGGGGAGCAAACAGGAUUAGAUACCCUCGUA
This 446-nucleotide ribosomal RNA is filed under the name uncultured bacterium. RNAcentral describes it as "partial 16S ribosomal RNA". It matches the Rfam family "Bacterial small subunit ribosomal RNA", at positions 330 to 792 of the family's 1533-position model. The record is from RNAcentral.